Molecule: antisense RNA, 81 nt
Filed under: Sorghum bicolor (sorghum)
Lineage: Eukaryota; Viridiplantae; Streptophyta; Magnoliopsida; Poales; Poaceae
Description: lncRNA IsrR
Rfam family: Antisense RNA which regulates isiA expression
Source: Rfam by way of RNAcentral
UGAAUACUAGAUGAAAAGCACCUAGACCUAACAAAAUUAAGUGAAUACCCAAAACAUUUGUAAUUUUGUUUCUAUCUUCCA